RNAcentral lists this long non-coding RNA (1243 nucleotides) under Anser cygnoides (Swan goose). RNAcentral describes it as "lncRNA (ENSACDG00005011205.1)". The record is from RNAcentral. Lineage: Eukaryota; Metazoa; Chordata; Aves; Anseriformes; Anatidae.
AUGAUUUUGGUGCCUUUGUGCUAUCUUCCCCAGGUCAGCAGAUGGAAGGAGGGAGGGAAAAAGCAAGCAGAACGUGCAUGCCACAGCCUGGCUUCAGUCAUUUGGCAGUCAGAGCAGGGCCUUCCCGAGACCCUGUAUACGUGCUGUCUCCUGAGUGCUGGUGGAGAAGACCUUUGGACCAAUGUUUUCUGGUGUCUCAGGAAGAAAUGCAAGGCAAUGCCCAUCUCCAUCAGACAAGUUUGAGCUAGUGCAUGACUUUCUGAUGGGGGAUCUCAGUAUAACUAUCUACUUAGGCGCAGUAAAUAUUAAGUAGCUUUGAUAUAAAGGAAAAUGAUAUUUAUUUAUUUUUUGCCACAUACAAUAACAAAAUUUAUUUCAAAAAUAUUUUGUUGUAUUUCAAUUAUUAUUAUUUUUUAAACUGACAAUCCAUUCUAUUCUAGAGUUAUCUGUAAAUGUUCUUAAUAAUUUGGUGUUACUUUGUUACUUGAAUUAUUUGUUUUAGCCUACAGAAAGAGUACAGGGAUUAUUGCAUAUUGUGUUCAAGAUCUGCAAUGUGACAUUCAUUUUGUGAACGUUUCUAAGUGAUAUUUCUGUUCUUUGAUUGGAUGAGUUCCUAAUUAGAAGUUUUCAGGAAAUACUUGUGAACUCUUUGUGUGUGUUGCAUAUUCAUCAAGGUAUUUGCCAUUACUUACACGAACAUUCGUUAUCUUUACCUAGAAAUAAUUAAAAAAUAACUAUUGUUUGCCUGACUAUUCACUUAAAGAUAAAAUUCAUCAAAUGGGAUAAGGACUCACUUAUUUACCAGGUAUUUACACACAUCAUUUGGUCAAAAUAGAUUGAUUAAGAAAUCUAUUAGAGAUGCCAUUUACACACAUGCAUAUGCCAUAUUUAAUUCCCAACCAAUGGGCUGUUUUCAUUGCUUCCUCUGCAUGAUUGCUCUGCAUUCUAGUAAACUAAUUUUCAGAGUGGUUUCUUAAAAUUUAGUCUUCUCUAUUCUGAUUUUAUCUCAUUAUUUGUCAUGUACCACAUUAAAUAAUUAUUAUUCACUGCAUUAACAUUUUUAUUAUUAUUAUUAUUUUGUAGGCUGUUGUCAUGCUUUCACUCAGUAAUGGUUUUAUCUAUUCUUUUGUUUGGUGAAUCACAUGCUUUGGUUCUUUCACUAUUUUUCCUUUGUUUUGAUUUUUUUUAGCAUCUCAAUUUUGUUACUUUCUUUCUGGAAAUGUAUUGUUCUAAAAUGAACAAA